CAGUAAAUAGUUUAAAAAAUAUUAAUUUUGGAGAUUAAAGAUAAGCGUUGGCUUUUUACUGA
This 62-nucleotide transfer RNA is filed under the name Pentatoma metallifera. RNAcentral describes it as "tRNA-Pro". The record is from RNAcentral. Lineage: Eukaryota; Metazoa; Arthropoda; Insecta; Hemiptera; Pentatomidae.